AUGGGGAAGCUGAAGCCCGUUUCUCCGACGGCUACUCCUCGAGGUCAGAAGAGGCGCCGUGAGAAGCCCAAAAGGCCGGUGCUCGAUGAUGGUCUUCCUGACUCUCCAGCUGGAAUCAUAGCAGCGAAGGCUGUUCGGCGUGAGAAACCAUCCAAUGAGAGCCCUCAAGGCCUACAUCAGAGUGAUGACGAUGACUCAGAUGAUUGCAAUGUUUCCAGCGAGGAUGAGGCACAUGAUAUGAAAAGCAAUAAAAGUGAUGCUUUUGAUGAAAUGGAGUCGUCAUGUUCAUUUCAGCGUCAUGUUACUCACGUGCUAGCAAAUGAUGAAGUCAAUGCAUUAGUGAAUCAGAAGAGUAAAUUUAAAUGGGAGAUGCCUGCUGAGGACAUUCCAAAAUCCAAAUGGGUUGGGACAGGUGAAAAAAUUAAGGGAGCUUCUGAUGACCCUUUUGUUGAUGUCAAAGGAAAAUUGAAGGACCACUGGCAAAAAAUCCUCUCUGAUGAUUUGAAUUAUAGAUCGAGGUUCUUCUCACUUUGUAAUAGCUAUCGUGACAUAAUGCAUUGUAAUAAGAAGCCAUUUUAUCUUAAGGGUAGUAAGGUGGAUUCCAGUACUAUGGACGCAUAUCUUAUGCAUGCUUUGAGCCAUGUUCAUAGGACAAGAGAUGUUGUCAUUAAGAAUGAUGCGAAGCUUAGGAAUGAUGCUAACACAGAUGUUAUGGCGGACGACUCAUACCGCGAUCAGGGUUUUACACGUCCAAAGGUUCUUUUCUUGUUACCUCUCAAAAGCAUUGCACGACGCAUUGUGAAGAGAUUAAUCCAAUUAUCUCCGCUGACACAAAAGGAUAAUUCUAUGGGACAAUUCAAGAAAGAGUUUGGCGAAUCAGAUGAUGAACUGGAGGAGCCAAAUAGUUCAAAACCAACAGACUUUAACCUUCUGUUUGCUGGGGAUGUUGAAGAUCACUUUCUUUUUGGAAUAAAAUUUACAAAGAAAUCUGUUAAGCUAUACAGCAAUUUCUACGCUUCUGAUAUUAUAGUUGCGUUUCCUUAG
RNAcentral lists this ribosomal RNA (1044 nucleotides) under Triticum aestivum (bread wheat). Its description in RNAcentral is "partial small subunit ribosomal RNA". The record is from RNAcentral. Lineage: Eukaryota; Viridiplantae; Streptophyta; Magnoliopsida; Poales; Poaceae.